CCUACGGGUGGCAGCAGUGAGGAAUAUUGGUCAAUGGGCGCGAGCCUGAACCAGCCAAGUCGCGUGAGGGAAGACGGUCCUAUGGAUUGUAAACCUCUUUUGUCGGGGAGCAAAAGACGCCACGCGUGGCGUUCCGAGAGUACCCGAAGAAAAAGCAUCGGCUAACUCCGUGCCAGCAGCCGCGGUAAUAAGGAGGAUGCGAGCGUUAUCCGGAUUUAUUGGGUUUAAAGGGUGCGCAGGCGGAAGAUCAAGUCAGCGGUAAAAUUGAGGGGCUCAACCUCAUCGAGCCGUUGAAACUGGUUGUCUUGAGUGAGCGAGAAGUAUGCGGAAUGCGUGGUGUAGCGGUGAAAUGCAUAGAUAUCACGCAGAACUCCGAUUGCGAAGGCAGCAUACCGGCGCUCAACUGACGCUCAUGCACGAAAGUGUGGGUAUCGAACAGGAUUAGAUACCCCAGUAGUC
Molecule: ribosomal RNA, 459 nt
Filed under: uncultured bacterium
Lineage: Bacteria
Description: partial 16S ribosomal RNA
Rfam family: Bacterial small subunit ribosomal RNA
Source: RNAcentral